Molecule: non-coding RNA, 600 nt
Organism: Paramisgurnus dabryanus
Lineage: Eukaryota; Metazoa; Chordata; Actinopteri; Cypriniformes; Cobitidae
Source: RefSeq, a predicted model, not a curated record
ACAGGUCUCACCUCAGCUCAAAAACAUCUGCUCUGUUUUGCUGUUGCUGGAUGUCUGAUGAUUUUUGCUUCAGUUCUGCUCUUCUGGAUCUACAGGAAACAGAAACACACAUCAACAGGAAACAGUUCAGAGCUGUGAAAUCACUUUCCAUCAUAGACGAACAUGUAAACGGAGAGCUCCAGUGGAGGAUGAAGUGGUGUAUGCAGAAGUCAAGAGACGAUGAUCAAACUCAGUUUAAACAUUACGAUACUGAACUGACCUGUAAAAUAUUAUCAAAAUCACUGAACAAGAUAUUAAAGUGUUUCUAAUGUUUUAUUUUUAUAAAUAUUCUUUACUUCUGGGUUAAAGUGAAUGAUGGUGUGGAAAUGUGGUUUUGUUCUGUUAAUGGACACAAGUUUUAUUUUUGACUAUUGAGGCUGUUUGUGGUUGAUAUGUGAGAGGUGUGAACCGUGUGUUUGUGGAAGAGAGAGAGAGACAAUAAAAUAUUGAAUCAUCAAUGCUAAUGUAUGACAAAUAAAAGAUUGCUUUAUAUAAUCAGACAGUGAGCUCUUACUUUGUGAAUGUUUUUAUUUCUGUUCAUGUAGCUCAGUUUGUUUUAGA